GACGAACGCUGGCGGCGUGCCUAAUACAUGCAAGUCGAACGCAUUUUCUUUCACCGUAGCUUGCUACACCGAAAGAAAAUGAGUGGCGAACGGGUGAGUAACACGUGGGUAACCUGCCCAUCAGCGGGGGAUAACACUUGGAAACAGGUGCUAAUACCGCAUAAUUCCAUUUACCGCAUGGUAGAUGGGUGAAAGGCGCUUUUGCGUCACUGAUGGAUGGACCCGCGGUGCAUUAGCUAGUUGGUGGGGUAACGGCCUACCAAGGCUGCGAUGCAUAGCCGACCUGAGAGGGUGAUCGGCCACACUGGGACUGAGACACGGCCCAGACUCCUACGGGAGGCAGCAGUAGGGAAUCUUCGGCAAUGGACGCAAGUCUGGCCGAGCAACGCCGCGUGAGUGAAGAAGGGUUUCGGAUCGUAAAACUCUGUUGUUAGAGAAGAACAAGGAUGAGAGUGGAAAGUUCAUCCCUUGACGGUAUCUAACCAGAAAGCCACGGCUAACUACGUG
RNAcentral lists this ribosomal RNA (507 nucleotides) under uncultured bacterium. RNAcentral describes it as "partial 16S ribosomal RNA". It matches the Rfam family "Bacterial small subunit ribosomal RNA", at positions 28 to 507 of the family's 1533-position model. The record is from RNAcentral.